UAGGCAGUGUCAUUAGCUGAUUGUACUGU
RNAcentral lists this non-coding RNA (29 nucleotides) under Callithrix jacchus (white-tufted-ear marmoset). RNAcentral also lists the same sequence under 1 other name. Lineage: Eukaryota; Metazoa; Chordata; Mammalia; Primates; Cebidae. The record is from RNAcentral.